GAUGAACGCUAGCGAUAGGCCUAACACAUGCAAGUCGAGGGGCAUCACAUGAAGUAGCAAUACGGAUGGUGGCGACCGGCGCACGGGUGAGUAACACGUAUGCAACCUGCCUUCAACAAGGGGAUAACCCGUUGAAAGACGGACUAAUACCCUAUAACACAGGGGUCCCGCAUGGGAAUAUUUGUUAAAGGACAACCGGUUGAAGAUGGGCAUGCGUUCCAUUAGCUAGUUGGCGGGGUAACGGCCCACCAAGGCAACGAUGGAUAGGGGAACUGAGAGGUUUAUCCCCCACACUGGUACUGAGACACGGACCAGACUCCUACGGGAGGCAGCAGUGAGGAAUAUUGGUCAAUGGACGCAAGUCUGAACCAGCCACGUCGCGUGAAGGAUGAAGGCCUUAGGGUUGUAAACCUCUAAAAGAGGGACGAUAAUGACGGUACCAUAGGAGGAAGCCCCGGCUAACUACGUG
This 469-nucleotide ribosomal RNA is filed under the name uncultured bacterium. RNAcentral describes it as "bacterial SSU rRNA". It matches the Rfam family "Bacterial small subunit ribosomal RNA", at positions 28 to 507 of the family's 1533-position model. The record is from RNAcentral.